RNAcentral lists this unclassified non-coding RNA (337 nucleotides) under soil metagenome. RNAcentral describes it as "partial contains 5.8S ribosomal RNA, internal transcribed spacer 2, and large subunit ribosomal RNA". The stretch from base 1 to 120 matches the Rfam family "5.8S ribosomal RNA", at positions 35 to 154 of the family's 154-position model. The record is from RNAcentral.
GAUGAAGAACGCAGCGAAAUGCGAUAAGUAGUGUGAAUUGCAGAAUUCAGUGAAUCAACGAAUCUUUGAACGCACAUUGCGCCCCUUGGUAUUCCAUGGGGCAUGCCUGUUCGAGCGUCAUUUGUACCUUCAAGCUCUGCUUGGUGUUGGGUGUUUGUCUCGCCUCUGCGUGUAGACUCGCCUCAAAACAAUUGGCAGCCGGCGUAUUGAUUUCGGAGCGCAGUACAUCUCGCGCUUUGCACUCAUAACGACGACGUCCAAAAGUACAUUUUUACACUCUUGACCUCGGAUCAGGUAGGAAUACCCGCUGAACUUAAGCAUAUCAAUAAGCGGAGGA